CACGAACCCAGGGGGUGGUGGCGGAAUCUGAUUCCAACGCCUGAGAUGCACUAGCGAACCCCUAGAACCUGAUCCGGUUAGUACCGGCGUAGGAAUGGGGAGUAAGCUUGCU
Molecule: non-coding RNA, 112 nt
Filed under: Thalassolituus oleivorans
Lineage: Bacteria; Pseudomonadati; Pseudomonadota; Gammaproteobacteria; Oceanospirillales; Oceanospirillaceae
Also listed under: 1 other name
Description: TPP sequence
Rfam family: TPP riboswitch aptamer (THI element)
About the family: Vitamin B(1) in its active form thiamin pyrophosphate (TPP) is an essential coenzyme that is synthesised by coupling of pyrimidine and thiazole moieties in bacteria.
Source: RNAcentral